This 48-nucleotide non-coding RNA is filed under the name Schistosoma mansoni. The record is from RNAcentral. Lineage: Eukaryota; Metazoa; Platyhelminthes; Trematoda; Strigeidida; Schistosomatidae.
AUCCUGCUGAUGAGUCCCAAAUAGGACGAAACGCACAUCAAACUGGAU